Molecule: long non-coding RNA, 338 nt
Filed under: Mustela putorius furo (domestic ferret)
Lineage: Eukaryota; Metazoa; Chordata; Mammalia; Carnivora; Mustelidae
Description: lncRNA (ENSMPUG00000025879.1)
Source: RNAcentral
GCUGUUUAGUCUUGGGAGGAUCAGAUUAGGGUAAAGUCAAAGUGGAUCGAAAACUGAAAAUAUAGAGAUGCCGUGUAUUCUUCUAUGAGUAUAAUUAUGAUUGCUGAGGCUCCUAAUUAGAAGAUAGGAUGGUCACUUUUUAACUCAGGCUCAACUUUUCUUGACCAAUUCCCCGGACAGCUAAAGAAGAGGUUUAUUUACUCUCAAGAGCCAGGAAGUCCAGGCAAAACCAGCAGAAUAAAACGGAUUUCAUGACAGAGCAUUAUGGCAGCAAGUGAGAGACAAUAACAACAUUUAAAAAGAAAAGACACAAGAGCUUAUCCAUGGCAAGAUGGUAC